CUCAUAAUUCCAGAAGGAUUUCAGUUCAUCACCACGGGGAGGGCAAGGUGGUGGGCACGCAUGGUAAAGAGCCUCACACUGGGCCUGGAGCAAGAAGCAGAACACAGAGGUCGGAACCAGAAGGCCCACCUUUAAUGACAUAGCUUCACCAGGUGAUGUUGAUCGUGGCGUCAGAACAGUAGCAUUGUUACGAACUGGGUGUUUCCACUGUCUCUCUUCUCUCCGGUUUGUAUGUUGAAAUUCUGACCUCCAGUGAGAGAGGGAAGAAGAAAAAGAAAAAUAGAAAACAGAGACUAGAGAGUGAAUGACAAAAAUCCAAAUCAAGAUUGCAACCUCGAGGAGAUAUUGUGGGCAUUAUAUGUGGAGCGGUGGUGUCAAACUCACAGAAGCUGGGGAGGGGAGCCCACAGCAUUGUGUGAGCUGCGUGGAGCCUCAGCAUGUUCACAUCCAGGAGAAACCUAGCAACCACCAGUUCAAGCUCUGUUCUGAGAGGAGGAAGUGAAAAAUGAGGAGGAAAGAUAACUCUUACUACACAGCCAGGGAGAUCAGAGUCCCAGUCUCUAAAACACAGAGGCUCCUGCUUAACCUGUUUCUCUACCUAUGGAUUCAGCUACCCACGGUCAACAAUGGUCCUGAAUAUUAAGUGGGAAAUUCAAAAAAUAAAUAGUUCACGUGUUUCAGAUGA
Molecule: non-coding RNA, 685 nt
Organism: Peromyscus maniculatus bairdii (prairie deer mouse)
Lineage: Eukaryota; Metazoa; Chordata; Mammalia; Rodentia; Cricetidae
Source: RefSeq, a predicted model, not a curated record